This 879-nucleotide ribosomal RNA is filed under the name uncultured bacterium. Its description in RNAcentral is "bacterial SSU rRNA". It matches the Rfam family "Bacterial small subunit ribosomal RNA", at positions 44 to 905 of the family's 1533-position model. The record is from RNAcentral.
GUGCCUAAUACAUGCAAGUAGAACGCUGAAGAGAGGAGCUUGCUCUUCUUGGAUGAGUUGCGAACGGGUGAGUAACGCGUAGGUAACCUGCCUUGUAGCGGGGGAUAACUAUUGGAAACGAUAGCUAAUACCGCAUAACAAUGGAUGACACAUGUCAUUUAUUUGAAAGGAGCAAUUGCUCCACUACAAGAUGGACCUGCGUUGUAUUAGCUAGUAGGUGAGGUAACGGCUCACCUAGGCGACGAUACAUAGCCGACCUGAGAGGGUGAUCGGCCACACUGGGACUGAGACACGGCCCAGACUCCUACGGGAGGCAGCAGUAGGGAAUCUUCGGCAAUGGGGGCAACCCUGACCGAGCAACGCCGCGUGAGUGAAGAAGGUUUUCGGAUCGUAAAGCUCUGUUGUAAGUCAAGAACGAGUGUGAGAGUGGAAAGUUCACACUGUGACGGUAGCUUACCAGAAAGGGACGGCUAACUACGUGCCAGCAGCCGCGGUAAUACGUAGGUCCCGAGCGUUGUCCGGAUUUAUUGGGCGUAAAGCGAGCGCAGGCGGUUUGAUAAGUCUGAAGUUAAAGGCUGUGGCUCAACCAUAGUUCGCUUUGGAAACUGUCAAACUUGAGUGCAGAAGGGGAGAGUGGAAUUCCAUGUGUAGCGGUGAAAUGCGUAGAUAUAUGGAGGAACACCGGUGGCGAAAGCGGCUCUCUGGUCUGUAACUGACGCUGAGGCUCGAAAGCGUGGGGAGCGAACAGGAUUAGAUACCCUGGUAGUCCACGCCGUAAACGAUGAGUGCUAGGUGUUGGAUCCUUUCCGGGAUUCAGUGCCGCAGCUAACGCAUUAAGCACUCCGCCUGGGGAGUACGACCGCAAGGUUGAAACUCAAA